UACGGAGGGGGCGAGCGUUAUUCGGAAUUAUUGGGCGUAAAGGGCGCGUAGGCGGCCUGAUAAGUCAAAGGUGAAAUCCCUCGGCUCAACUGAGGAAUUGCCUUUGAAACUGUCAGGCUUGAGGCCGGGAGGGGGUGGCGGAAUUCCCAGUGUAGCGGUGAAAUGCGCAGAUAUCAGGAGGAACACCGGUGGCGAAGGCGGGUCUCUGGGCCGAUACUGACGCUGAGGAGCGAAAGCGUGGGGAGCGAACAGG
This 253-nucleotide ribosomal RNA is filed under the name uncultured bacterium. RNAcentral describes it as "partial 16S ribosomal RNA". It matches the Rfam family "Bacterial small subunit ribosomal RNA", at positions 524 to 776 of the family's 1533-position model. The record is from RNAcentral.